CUUCACCGACCCCAGCAGCAGGGGCUCCGCCCGGUCCUGCCCAUACGUGGCGAGCAGCGCCUGCGCCUC
This is a non-coding RNA of Cryptosporangium arvum DSM 44712, 69 nucleotides long. It matches the Rfam family "ASpks TB sRNA". NCBI's taxonomy places the organism in Bacteria, Bacillati, Actinomycetota, Actinomycetes, Cryptosporangiales, Cryptosporangiaceae. The record is from Rfam.